RNAcentral lists this ribosomal RNA (873 nucleotides) under Cupriavidus basilensis. RNAcentral describes it as "bacterial SSU rRNA". It matches the Rfam family "Bacterial small subunit ribosomal RNA", at positions 9 to 873 of the family's 1533-position model. The record is from RNAcentral. Lineage: Bacteria; Pseudomonadati; Pseudomonadota; Betaproteobacteria; Burkholderiales; Burkholderiaceae.
UGAGUUUGAUCCUGGCUCAGAUUGAACGCUGGCGGCAUGCCUUACACAUGCAAGUCGAACGGCAGCACGGGAGCAAUCCUGGUGGCGAGUGGCGAACGGGUGAGUAAUACAUCGGAACGUGCCCUGUCGUGGGGGAUAACUAGUCGAAAGAUUAGCUAAUACCGCAUACGACCUGAGGGUGAAAGCGGGGGACCGUAAGGCCUCGCGCGAUAGGAGCGGCCGAUGUCUGAUUAGCUAGUUGGUGGGGUAAAGGCCCACCAAGGCGACGAUCAGUAGCUGGUCUGAGAGGACGAUCAGCCACACUGGGACUGAGACACGGCCCAGACUCCUACGGGAGGCAGCAGUGGGGAAUUUUGGACAAUGGGGGCAACCCUGAUCCAGCAAUGCCGCGUGUGUGAAGAAGGCCUUCGGGUUGUAAAGCACUUUUGUCCGGAAAGAAAUCCCUUGCUCUAAUACGGCGGGGGGAUGACGGUACCGGAAGAAUAAGCACCGGCUAACUACGUGCCAGCAGCCGCGGUAAUACGUAGGGUGCGAGCGUUAAUCGGAAUUACUGNGCGUAAAGCGUGCGCAGGCGGUUUUGUAAGACAGGCGUGAAAUCCCCGAGCUCAACUUGGGAAUGGCGCUUGUGACUGCNAGGCUAGAGUAUGUCAGAGGGGGGUAGAAUUCCACGUGUAGCAGUGAAAUGCGUAGAGAUGUGGAGGAAUACCGAUGGCGAAGGCAGCCCCCUGGGACGUCACUGACGCUCAUGCACGAAAGCGUGGGGAGCAAACAGGANUAGAUACCCUGGNAGUCCACGCCCUAAACGAUGUCAACUAGUUGUUGGGGAUUCAUUUCUUCAGUAACGUAGCUANNGCGUGNAGUUGANNGCCUGGG